CCUACGGGAGGCAGCAGUGGGGAAUAUUGCACAAUGGGGGAAACCCUGAUGCAGCGACGCCGCGUGAGUGAAGAAGUAUUUCGGUACGUAAAGCUCUAUCAGCAGGGAAGAAAAUGACGGUACCUGACUAAGAAGCACCGGCUAACUACGUGCCAGCAGCCGCGGUAAUACGUAGGGGGCAAGCGUUAUCCGGAUUUAUUGGGUUUAAAGGGUGCGCAGGCGGAAGAUCAGGUCAGCGGUAAAAUUGAGAGGCUCAACCUCGUCGAGCCGUUGAAACUGGUUUUCUUGAGUGAGCGAGAAGUAUGCGGAAUGCGUGGUGUAGCGGUGAAAUGCAUAGAUAUCACGCAGAACUCCGAUUGCGAAGGCAGCAUACCGGCGCUCAACUGACGCUCAUGCACGAAAGUGUGGGUAUCGAACAGGAUUAGAUACCCCGGUAGUC
This 439-nucleotide ribosomal RNA is filed under the name uncultured bacterium. RNAcentral describes it as "partial 16S ribosomal RNA". It matches the Rfam family "Bacterial small subunit ribosomal RNA", at positions 338 to 795 of the family's 1533-position model. The record is from RNAcentral.